CUUGCUGCUUUGCUGACGAGUGGCGGACGGGUGAGUAAUGUCUGGGAAACUGCCUGAUGGAGGGGGAUAACUACUGGAAACGGUGGCUAAUACCGCAUAACGUCGCAAGACCAAAGAGGGGGACCUUCGGGCCUCUUGCCAUCAGAUGUGCCCAGAUGGGAUUAGCUUGUUGGUGAGGUAACGGCUCACCAAGGCGACGAUCCCUAGCUGGUCUGAGAGGAUGACCAGCCACACUGGAACUGAGACACGGUCCAGACUCCUACGGGAGGCAGCAGUGGGGAAUAUUGCACAAUGGGCGCAAGCCUGAUGCAGCCAUGCCGCGUGUAUGAAGAAGGCCUUCGGGUUGUAAAGUACUUUCAGCGGGGAGGAAGGUGUUGUGGUUAAUAACCGCAGCAAUUGACGUUACCCGCAGAAGAAGCACCGGCUAACUCCGUGCCAGCAGCCGCGGUAAUACGGAGGGUGCAAGCGUUAAUCGGAAUUACUGGGCGUAAAGCGCACGCAGGCGGUCUGUCAAGUCGGAUGUGAAAUCCCCGGGCUCAACCUGGGAACUGCAUUCGAAACUGGCAGGCUUGAGUCUUGUAGAGGGGGGUAGAAUUCCAGGUGUAGCGGUGAAAUGCGUAGAGAUCUGGAGGAAUACCGGUGGCGAAGGCGGCCCCCUGGACAAAGACUGACGCUCAGGUGCGAAAGCGUGGGGAGCAAACAGGAUUAGAUACCCUGGUAGUCCACGCCGUAAACGAUGUCUACUUGGAGGUUGUGCCCUUGAGGCGUGGCUUCCGGAGCUAACGCGUUAAGUAGACCGCCUGGGGAGUACGGCCGCAAGGUUAAAACUCAAAUGAAUUGACGGGGGCCCGCACAAGCGGUGGAGCAUGUGGUUUAAUUCGAUGCAACGCGAAGAACCUUACCUGGUCUUGACAUCCACAGAAGAAUCCAGAGAUGGAUUUGUGCCUUCGGGAACUGUGAGACAGGUGCUGCAUGGCUGUCGUCAGCUCGUGUUGUGAAAUGUUGGGUUAAGUCCCGCAACGAGCGCAACCCUUAUCCUUUGUUGCCAGCGGUUAGGCCGGGAACUCAAAGGAGACUGCCAGUGAUAAACUGGAGGAAGGUGGGGAUGACGUCAAGUCAUCAUGGCCCUUACGACCAGGGCUACACACGUGCUACAAUGGCGCAUACAAAGAGAAGCGACCUCGCGAGAGCAAGCGGACCUCAUAAAGUGCGUCGUAGUCCGGAUUGGAGUCUGCAACUCGACUCCAUGAAGUCGGAAUCGCUAGUAAUCGUGGAUCAGAAUGCCACGGUGAAUACGUUCCCGGGCCUUGUACACACCGCCCGUCACACCAUGGGAGUGGGUUGCAAAAGAAGUAGGUAGCUUAACCUUCGGGAGGGCGCUUACCACUUUGUGAUUCAUGACUGGGGUGAAGUCGUAACAAGGUAACCGUAGGGGAACCUGCGGUUGGAUCACCUCCUUACCUUAAAGAA
This 1470-nucleotide ribosomal RNA is filed under the name Salmonella enterica subsp. enterica serovar Enteritidis. RNAcentral's name for it is "bacterial SSU rRNA". It matches the Rfam family "Bacterial small subunit ribosomal RNA". Lineage: Bacteria; Pseudomonadati; Pseudomonadota; Gammaproteobacteria; Enterobacterales; Enterobacteriaceae. The record is from RNAcentral.